This 425-nucleotide ribosomal RNA is filed under the name uncultured bacterium. RNAcentral describes it as "bacterial SSU rRNA". It matches the Rfam family "Bacterial small subunit ribosomal RNA", at positions 30 to 457 of the family's 1533-position model. The record is from RNAcentral.
AUUGAACGCUGGCGGCAUGCCUUACACAUGCAAGUCGAACGGCAGCACGGGAGCAAUCCUGGUGGCGAGUGGCGAACGGGUGAGUAAUAUAUCGGAACGUGCCCGGUCGUGGGGAUAACGUAGCGAAAGCUACGCUAAUACCGCAUACGAUCUACGGAUGAAAGCGGGGGAUCGCAAGACCUCGCGCGAUUGGAGCGGCCGAUAUCAGAUUAGGUAGUUGGUGAGGUAAAGGCUCACCAAGCCGACGAUCUGUAGCUGGUCUGAGAGGACGACCAGCCACACUGGGACUGAGACACGGCCCAGACUCCUACGGGAGGCAGCAGUGGGGAAUUUUGGACAAUGGGCGCAAGCCUGAUCCAGCAAUGCCGCGUGCAGGAUGAAGGCCUUCGGUGUUAAACUGCUUUUGUACGGUAACGAAACGGUAG